AGCCUGUCAACCAGCCAAAGAUGACUUGCCUUGUAACUUUCACAAGGAUUCUUCUGGUUAAAUGUUAGCUAAUCUUGAGACCUUUCUUAGGAAGCAAGGCAAGUCAUUCAUGGCUGUCAAACAAGACUCU
Non-coding RNA from Citrus sinensis (sweet orange), 130 nucleotides. The record is from Rfam. Lineage: Eukaryota; Viridiplantae; Streptophyta; Magnoliopsida; Sapindales; Rutaceae.